Papaver somniferum (opium poppy) is the source of this 1782-nucleotide long non-coding RNA. RefSeq lists it as uncharacterized. NCBI's taxonomy places the organism in Eukaryota, Viridiplantae, Streptophyta, Magnoliopsida, Ranunculales, Papaveraceae. The transcript has 3 exons. The record is from RefSeq and is a predicted model, not a curated record.
UCUUUUCUCUUCUUUCUUCUCGUUUCUUCGUUCUUCUUUUGCUCUCUAUUGUUCUUCUUCUGUAGAAUUCGAGUGAUGAUUUAGAGAAUACGUUUGAUAGUUCUUGGUUGAUGAAUUUAAUCUGAUGGUGAAGGAAGUGUUGUCGAUGUGAUUUAAGAAUGAUAAGAUUUAGUAUUGCUGGGGUUUUGAGACGAAUCAUCAAGAAGUGGAGUUAGGGUUUCUGUGAGUUGAUGAAGGUUUGAUUUGAGGUUACUAGAGAUGGGUUUAGUUGAUUGAAUUAAGGGUUUCCGUUCAAUUGAUAAUCUGAAGUGGUUUUGAUGUAAACUGAAGAGUUAGGGUUUCUCUGAAAAUCAAUGAGGGUGAAGAUGUUUAUGAGACUCGGAUCGAGAUAGAAGAAGAGUAGAGUUAGUUUUAGUUGGUGGUGGUGGUGUUGAUUCAAGCGACUGAUACAGAACCUGCAGAAAAGGUAAUUUGAGAAUUAAAAUUAGGGUUCUUUAAUUUGAAUCUGUUUUAUAUAAAUUGAUAAGAGAUGAUGAAUCCUAGAUGGGUUUUAUGCUAAUUGAAAAUUCGUAUUGAAUUUAUAAGUGGAAUUAAGUUCUGGUGAAGGUUUGAGAAAACUAGGUUUCCCUGUUCUUCCCCAAAUUAGAAUUAGGAUUCUUGUGUUGAGAAUUGCAGAUGAAGUAAAUAAUGGUGAUUGGUUUUAAUAGAGGUUGUAGAUGUUUAUUAAUGAUUUGUUGUUGAGUUGGAGAUCAUCAGGUGCAGGGGUUGCUUGAAGUGCAGUUGUAGCUAGUUGAAUGGAGAAAAAAUAUGAGACUCUGGGAUUGGUAACAUCACCGAGGUUGUGAAAAUUGGAUGAUUAUAUUUAAAGUAUAAGAGUAGGAACUAGUUCUAGAGAUCUAAGGUUCAAGGAUAAGCCAUGGUGGUGAUGUUGAACUGAGUAAGAUGGAAAUUGGUUUGUUACAUAACUUAGGAUGAGAAAGAAUUGGAGUUGCAGGUUUGAUUGAGAUGGAAGUGUUGAGGAAUGUUAUGUUGUUGCAGAUGAAGUUGAGACCUAUAGUGGAGAUUCUGAAGUUGUUGGUGAUGUUUGGGGAUAUAUGAAUUGUUGCAAGUGAAGUCUGAUAACUGUUACAGGGAUUGUAGUUUGCGUAUGUUGAUGCUACUGCAAUGGUUGAUUAAGGGUUAGAUGAAUAACAUGGAACUAGUGUUGAGAGGUUAUUGAUGAACUGUAAUUGAACUAGAAAGUAGUGUAAUGUGUGGGUUAUGGUGUUAGGUUGGAGGUUUAAUGAGAUUAAAAGAGGGAUGUUAUGUGAUUCCUGAAUUGAACAUUGUGGCUGAGAUGUAGGAUUUGGGUUGUGAGUAAUAUUUGCUUAUAAUGAAGAUUCAGAUGAUUAGAUUAGAAUCUAUGAAUAUUGAUAUGAAGUAGUCUCACUGAAGGCUUGCAGCUACUGCAAUUGCAGUUAGUUUUUUUAACGACGAUCGAUUCGAAGGAUGAACCAGUGGAUCGUGGAUCUCGAGGUAGGCGUGGCUUGUCGUUAAAAAAGUUUUUCAGUAAUCAGAAGAAUCGGUGCGCAUGAAGAUAUCCGUUUUGUAGCUUAAUGUUUGGGCGAAUCGAAGAUGUUUGUUUAUCGUUUAUAUUUGUAUUGUUUGUUAAUUUAUUAAACAACACAUUAUUGUAUUCUUAUCACUUGAGAGAUUUUCAUUUAUGUAAUAUCAGAGUGUUGGGUUAGUUUUGGGUUAAGUUUUGUAGCAGAUUUCUAAAUUGAAUGAUUAAGUUUAUGAUUU